GUGAAUCAUCGAAUCUUUGAACGCAAAUUGCACCCUCUGGUAUUCCGGAGAGUAUGCCUGUUUGAGGGUCAUUUUAAAUAAAAAUCGUCGUCGUUGCUUCCUUUCUUGGUGACGCACCGGAUUUAGGACCACUUGCCUUCGGUUAAGUGACCUAAAAUUUUGCAUGAUUUCUUUCGAACGUAUUUAAAUGAUUUUACGUACGAUUGCGAUAUCGAAUACUAGGUGUGACCAUCCUCCUGAUUCGCGC
This 247-nucleotide unclassified non-coding RNA is filed under the name Glomeraceae sp. RNAcentral describes it as "partial contains 5.8S ribosomal RNA and internal transcribed spacer 2". The stretch from base 1 to 71 matches the Rfam family "5.8S ribosomal RNA", at positions 84 to 154 of the family's 154-position model. The record is from RNAcentral. Lineage: Eukaryota; Fungi; Glomeromycota; Glomeromycetes; Glomerales; Glomeraceae.